GCCCCGGUAGCUCAGUGGUAGAGCACCCGAUUCAAAACCGGUAGGCCGUGGGUUCGAAUCCCACCCGGGGCG
This is a transfer RNA of 72 nucleotides. It matches the Rfam family "tRNA". Rfam says of the family: Transfer RNA (tRNA) molecules are approximately 80 nucleotides in length. Their secondary structure includes four short double-helical elements and three loops (D, anti-codon, and T loops). Further hydrogen bonds mediate the characteristic L-shaped molecular structure. tRNAs have two regions of fundamental functional importance: the anti-codon, which is responsible for specific mRNA codon recognition, and the 3' end, to which the tRNAs corresponding amino acid is attached (by aminoacyl-tRNA synthetases). tRNAs cope with the degeneracy of the genetic code in two manners: having more than one tRNA (with a specific anti-codon) for a particular amino acid; and 'wobble' base-pairing, i.e. permitting non-standard base-pairing at the 3rd anti-codon position.